GAUGAAGCCCACUUGUGGGUGGAUUAGUGGCGAACGGGUGAGUAACACGUGAGUAACCUGCCCUUGACUCUGGGAUAAGCCUGGGAAACUGGGUCUAAUACCGGAUAUGACUGAUCAUCGCAUGGUGGUUGGUGGAAAGCUUUUUGUGGUUUUGGAUGGACUCGCGGCCUAUCAGCUUGUUGGUGAGGUAAUGGCUUACCAAGGCGACGACGGGUAGCCGGCCUGAGAGGGUGACCGGCCACACUGGGACUGAGACACGGCCCAGACUCCUACGGGAGGCAGCAGUGGGGAAUAUUGCACAAUGGGCGCAAGCCUGAUGCAGCGACGCCGCGUGAGGGAUGACGGCCUUCGGGUUGUAAACCUCUUUCAGUAGGGAAGAAGCGAAAGUGACGGUACCUGCAGAAGAAGCGCCGGCUAACUACGUGCCAGCAGCCGCGGUAAUACGUAGGGCGCAAGCGUUAUCCGGAAUUAUUGGGCGUAAAGAGCUCGUAGGCGGUUUGUCGCGUCUGCCGUGAAAGUCCGGGGCUCAACUCCGGAUCUGCGGUGGGUACGGGCAGACUAGAGUGAUGUAGGGGAGACUGGAAUUCCUGGUGUAGCGGUGAAAUGCGCAGAUAUCAGGAGGAACACCGAUGGCGAAGGCAGGUCUCUGGGCAUUAACUGACGCUGAGGAGCGAAAGCAUGGGGAGCGAACAGGAUUAGAUACCCUGGUAGUCCAUGCCGUAAACGUUGGGCACUAGGUGUGGGGGACAUUCCACGUUUUCCGCG
Molecule: ribosomal RNA, 765 nt
Filed under: Pseudarthrobacter sp.
Lineage: Bacteria; Bacillati; Actinomycetota; Actinomycetes; Micrococcales; Micrococcaceae
Description: bacterial SSU rRNA
Rfam family: Bacterial small subunit ribosomal RNA
Source: RNAcentral